This 253-nucleotide ribosomal RNA is filed under the name uncultured bacterium. Its description in RNAcentral is "partial 16S ribosomal RNA". It matches the Rfam family "Bacterial small subunit ribosomal RNA", at positions 524 to 776 of the family's 1533-position model. The record is from RNAcentral.
GACGAACCGAGCGAACGUUGUUCGGAAUCACUGGGCUUAAAGGGCGCGUAGGCGGGCUGCCAAGUCUGGGGUGAAAUCCUCCGGCUCAACCGGGGAAGGGCCUCAGAUACUGGCGGCCUGGAGGGGGGUAGGGGCGUGCGGAACUGUGGGUGGAGCGGUGAAAUGCGUUGAGAUCCACAGGAACUCCGGUGGCGAAGGCGGCACGCUGGACCCUUUCUGACGCUGAGGCGCGAAAGCCAGGGGAGCGAACGGG